CAUCUAGAGUGAAGAUGGAAAUGCUGUGCCGCUUGAAGAGUCAAGCAGCAACUAUACAGGGAGAGUAUGUUUUAGUUACUUUGUGUAUGUGUUCACUAACUCACUGGGUGUGCAUGGACUAACACCGAUUUGUGAUUAUUUUUGUGUACUGACUUGCGCUUCGAGUCAAGCCAACAAUGUUGUUAAACUGAAAUGUACUCUUGAAAAAUGUGGUUUGGAUUUUGUUUGGGAGGGAAUGGUAAGUUGUUUAGUGUGGGUUUUUCAACUUGAAUGAAACUGUUAAAGUGGGACUGUAUGUAUAAACAAUGGAGAGUAAGGUUUUGGAAUGCCAGCAAGCAAAUGUUUGUAACCGUGCCAAUGUGCUUGUUGCGGGCUUUUCACUGGUACAGCUGAGUGUCUUGGUCGACUGUUGCUACAGUUUGUUUUUUGUGUUUAGAAAGGUCUGAGUGGUAAUGAUGCUGCGCAGGCAUGGGAAGCGUUUGUAGGUGUGAUGUCGGACAGACGUCGCUGCAGUUAAGUGUUGUCGGUGGACUUGCGAUGGUCUGGAGUGUGCAGUGCAGGGUUUUGAGGGAGGACUCCAUAGUGUUUCUCUUCUCCCCUCUCCCUCCUUCUUCCUUUAGGGUAGAGUCGAUGUCGGAUCGGGUGAGAGGUGCCAAGAUGAACUGGACUAGAGUAAUAAGGACAUGCACAGACAAAUCAAUAAAUGACCGUCACAACUAAUAGCCCCCCCCCUCCCUGUGGAUGAGUUUGAAAAGCACAAAAACUCAGAGUUGAAGUAAUCAUUCUUCAUGGGAUGUAUGUCCCACAAGGUGCACGGAACCCGAAGAAAGCAGUGACUCACGAUACGCUGGACUUGACAUCAGUUUUCCAAAAGAAUGGGCAGAACAAAGAAUUUGCAUGGAGAUUGAAGGGACGACCUGCGAUAUGGAAACGCAUGGAGGUUGGAGGAUGAGAUGGUGAGCAAGAGAACCAGAAUUGGGUAAUUAAUGCAAAUGUGCAUCAAUAAAGGUGACAUGUUUCAGAGAGUGGAAGGGGAGCUGGAUGAAAGAAAAGAGCUCGGAAGGACGUGGCAUGGGAUGAGGAAAAGGAACAAUUCCACACUGAGAAUAAAGCGGCUCACAGAUAAGUAGUUUGUUCAUGUAUUCGCAGGGUGGAAGUAAAGCGUAAACCGGAGGGGGCAGAGUAUGGAGCUUUGCCUUGGUUGACAGUUGCUGUGGAAGGUAGUUUGGCGGUAGGUGUGAUUGUCAUGAUGGCAGGCAAGGAAAGUGUCGGUAGAGUUGAUAGUUGGAUGUGGUGGUUUGGUUGAGUGGUCUUUGCGAAGGAAGGAAGGUUGAGAUGGUCCACAGGUUGUUAGGCUUGUCUUCGUCCCGAGCAGCUCUUUGUUUUGAGUGAGGACUUUAUCAACACAAAACUGAAUACUUGUAUUUUCUUAAGGGUGAAGACCAACUGUGAUGCAGUUCCAAGAUGAACAGCAUCUUCUCACUUGAGGCAAGUGAUGUGCAUUAUCUGACAAAACAUUUGAAGGUGUCUGUUUUUAGUUUUUGGCAGCAAUCCAGAAUAAGUGGAAAUGAUGUGCCACUUCAAGAGCCAAGGCAACACUGCUAUUGAACAGGCUUUUCAUGGGCAGAGGAGCAACGUGGGAGGAAAGGAGUAUUUUCCACCAUGGCUGUGUUUGGAUGGCACAAAACCCUAGGUAACAAGUCUGAAAUGAUGCUUAAGAGUUAAUUUUGUUUCCCAAAGGUGAUUGUCCUCUUCCUGAGUUGCAGGAUGGGACACACCCAUGUGAGACCAGGCAUUGUAUGUUUUUGCAGGAUCAUGGCAAGUGCUGUUUCAAGAGCCAAGCAGCAGUGAAGAAGAAGAAGAAGAAGAAGAAGAAGAAGAAGAAGAAGAA
Molecule: long non-coding RNA, 1891 nt
Organism: Phyllopteryx taeniolatus (common seadragon)
Lineage: Eukaryota; Metazoa; Chordata; Actinopteri; Syngnathiformes; Syngnathidae
Exons: 7
Source: RefSeq, a predicted model, not a curated record